UGCCUCUGAACUACUCACAAGCAAAAGAAAAGAAACAAGAAAGAGACUCCUGCCAGUGACCACGCCCACGCUUCCCGGCAGUCUGCAGCCCUCAUCAGUCAGGUAUGCUGUCUGCUCACCUGUGCGGCCUCCUCAGCAGCCAAGAGGCUCUCCAAACCGCAGCCACCUUCCUGCACCACUAGCAAGAUGACUUUCUACCAGACCUCGACGAAGACCUUAGCUCUUCACCAUCCAGGGUCUGAUGACGAUGCUGGGGAGAGAUUGCUCUGAGGAACCCCCAGCCACUGAGGCGAAGUCCCCAGAGAAAUAGCUGGCAGUUUGAAAGUCAAUGUUGGCCUUAAGACAACUGUGAAAUAUGUUUGGAAAUGGUCCUCACCAAACUUUUCUGGGAAGAAUUCAGGCUGCUAACAAUGCAAGAUCUAGCGAUAGAGUUAGCACCUCUGCCAUGCUGUUGGCUAAAGACACCCUGGGAAAGUUGCUCCCUUCAGCACAGGUCCUAGGAUGGGCACUCACAGAGACUUCAUUCUGUUUAGGUGAGACUGUAAUGACAAAAUUCCUGCAUGUCUUCCCAUCCGUCAAACCUAAUGCAUUUUGAGUAAUUACAACUUCAGUUGCCCUACCCACAGCACCCACAGUGCUGCCCCGUUCGAUCUGCACAGCCACACUAUGAGAUGGGUGUUACUAUUGGUCCAGUUUCCCAGUGGAGGAAAUGGAGAUGCAUCAGGGCAACACACAUGAGAAUAACUGGACCCAGUCUUAGAAGUAGAGACCCCUGACUUUGAAUCUUAACCAGGUGACUGUUUUGUAAAAAUGAUCAGGAACCAACAUUGAACUGCAGGCCAACAGCCUCAUCAAAAUGAGAGGAAGCAAUGUGAGAGACUAAUUGUCCAGCAGUUUGCAAACAUUUCCCCAGUCCUUCUUUCAUAACGACAUUGGCGGUAGACAUCAGAGCCUCAAAUGGGUGGUGGUGAGCAGAACCAGGACUUUCCUAUCUGGUCAGUUGGCUCAGUGCGUUCUAGGCCCGGUAUGUUGUCUCCUAGCUUCUGAUCCAGUGCUCGCUUCGAGAGGACAGCCAGAUUGAUAGAAACAUGGGGCUCACACUGAUUCCACUAGAAAGCCAAAGAUUGCAUGAAAACAUUUUUUGUUACCACAGUGGUGAGGAGGUUGUCUCUGGCAAUGGGACCUUGAAAUGGUGCUACUGAAUGGUGCAGUAAUUCCUGCCUCUCGAAAUAGAAAAAGCAGUCAGCUCUCCACCACUUCAACCACACGGAUUGGAAAGUAGCCUCGCUGGAACAGUCUUGGAGACAUAUACUUAUGCUUUUGAACCUCAAGGAGUACGCAAAGAAAUGGCAAUACAUCGUGGCAAAAGGUUUUGCCAUCUUUCAAGAAACAGUAUACAAGAGACUGGAUACUAGAGUGAAGGGCCAGGAGACAGUGGCUCUAAUGUGCUGAUAAUCUCAUAUUUCUGUUCCAAGAGAUAAUUUAUAAAGCUCCUUAACAGGUCUCAUUUCAAAAAAAUCUACUUCAGUUGAAGUUAAGAAAUAGAGGUUGACUUUAUUUUAUGUGAUUUACCUGGGCACCAAUAAAACAAAUCAGAGUCACUUUAGUGGGCCAAAGAACCAUGAACACUCUAGAAAAUAUUGGUGGAAAAUGCUUAAUAACCAGGUAAUGUAAAAUGACCCCAGAUGACUAUAAUUAACAUGGAAUAGCACAGAUCUUCCUGGCAGUCAGAAAAUGCCCAAGAGGCCAACAGGUGUGACCUUCAGCACCAGCUACUGUGCAAACAAAUGUUCUGCAAGGCUUCAUUUCAUUUUCAUACUGUUGGAAGACGGCAUUUUUAGUCACACGGUGGAGAAUGAUUAACCAAAACAAUUCCUUUGAACCAAAUAAGUGUGAACAGCUCUGCAAUUUAAAACAAAACACAAAAAACUGACAACUUGGUUUAGUGUUUCUUUGUUGGUUCAUUUUUAUUUUUUAAAUAAGGGGAUUUUUCAGAGCAUAACAAGCUUUUGCUUGUUUUCACGAAAUAUUACCCUAUGGUUCCAUGCAGAAAAGUAAAAGCUUUCAAAAGUUUAUGUGAUGUGAUUAGCAAUGUAGAAAUAAAAAAUAAUUGACUACAAGUAAGAGGAUGUAUCUGAUAAUGAUUUCUGGUAGCAUACUUUGAAGCUGAAUAGAAAUGUAUAUAUGUAAAUUUAGAAAGCUUCCACUUUGAAAUUUGAGAGCCGUAAUUCCCUAGUAAAAGUCACUUGUUUGGCAAGGGAUAUUUUGAUCUCUGAGCUAGGUGAUACAGGAAAUCAUUUCCUGCUCACCUUAGCGGCCACUAUCAGCACCCUCCCUAAAAGUGUGGGUGGAGAGGUGUAGAAAGAGGGAAGUAAAGACUUGUGCUCCUCCCAAGUGCCAUGGUCCACGCAGCUCUGGAAUUCCCCAGGGCGAGGACCGUGGAGGGGCAAGAAGGUGAUGAAAUGAAGAGGAGAUUUGGAAAGCUCGGAUCAGGUGGAGCCCUCUCUCUGGAUGGGAGAAAAGAACUGCUCAGCCAUAGCCGCAUUUAUUUACACAUUUGGCAGAUUAGUAUCACAUAACACCCCUUUGCCUGCCAACCUGCCUGCAUGGCAUCCUCGGGGCCCUAGGGUUCUCUGGACUGGAGCAGCUUGUUCCCAUGGCUUGCCUCAGACGCUCUUUGUUCUCAGGACUGAAUUGGCCUCGCUCUAGCCCUGCAGUCUGAUCCAUCUCCAGCUGCACCUGCUCCCAACAUCUCCUCCUUUUCUGUUUUUGUAGUUGCAAUCAAUGGGUCUCCAAAAGAAGUUGGAGGAGUUGUGUUUGGAGGAUUCUGCUGAUGAUUCUCUUUCUGGUGAUUAUAUUUUUCUGCUGGAUAUUCAAGACCAAGUGAAAGUGAGACUUGUAUUAAUUAAAAUUAAUCUUUUGGAAUUUAUCAAGGAAA
Molecule: long non-coding RNA, 2938 nt
Organism: Cavia porcellus (domestic guinea pig)
Lineage: Eukaryota; Metazoa; Chordata; Mammalia; Rodentia; Caviidae
Exons: 2
Source: RefSeq, a predicted model, not a curated record